This 72-nucleotide transfer RNA is filed under the name Mus musculus (house mouse). It matches the Rfam family "tRNA". From Rfam's summary of the family: Transfer RNA (tRNA) molecules are approximately 80 nucleotides in length. Their secondary structure includes four short double-helical elements and three loops (D, anti-codon, and T loops). The record is from Rfam by way of RNAcentral. Lineage: Eukaryota; Metazoa; Chordata; Mammalia; Rodentia; Muridae.
UGGAAUGGAGCUCAGUGGGUAGAGUGCUUGCCUAACAGGCAUGAGGCCUGGGUUUGAUGCCCAGAAUGGCAU